UACGUAGGGUGCGAGCGUUAAUCGGAAUUACUGGGCGUAAAGCGUGCGCAGGCGGUUGUGCAAGACAGAUGUGAAAUCCCCGGGCUUAACCUGGGAACCGCAUUUGUGACUGCACGGCUAGAGUACGGCAGAGGGGGAUGGAAUUCCGCGUGUAGCAGUGAAAUGCGUAGAUAUGCGGAGGAACACCGAUGGCGAAGGCAGUCCCCUGGGCCUGUACUGACGCUCAUGCACGAAAGCGUGGGGAGCAAACAGG
RNAcentral lists this ribosomal RNA (253 nucleotides) under uncultured bacterium. Its description in RNAcentral is "partial 16S ribosomal RNA". It matches the Rfam family "Bacterial small subunit ribosomal RNA", at positions 524 to 776 of the family's 1533-position model. The record is from RNAcentral.